GAAGGAUGUGCGUGCCUAACUUGCAAAUGGAACCGAAUCGAAAUAAUUCGGAGGGAGUCCAAAGAGCAAAAUCAGUCGUCAGUCGAAACCAAAGGAUAACGCAUCGUUAGGCGGCUCCUCUUAGGCUAUAUAAACAAAUAAGCAAGUCUAGGACUUCGUUGCUCACCCAAAGCCACUGGAAAUCUGCUGUGGUCGCAGGGAAUGGGAAUGGGAAUGGGAAAUACCUAAAACUAAGUCCUCAUCACGGAUAUGAGCAAGACAAUGACAAGGAACGGCUGAAUUAGAUGGGAAUUACUUCUAAGCGAAGACAGCGAAGACAACAACAACAUAACAUUCUUUCCUCUGCUGAUUCCACAUCUACUACUUCUAUGGUCGAGUUAACAUCUAUGCAGCACAUCCAAAGGAUAGCAGCGAUUUCUGUAAUAUCACAUUAUUCACCAUCAAAAAGUAUUCAAAUUAUUCAAUUUACAAUUUUUUAAAGCGCAAUAAAGUGCACUUAAUUGAAUCAAAAAAGA
Long non-coding RNA from Drosophila yakuba, 515 nucleotides. RefSeq lists it as uncharacterized. The transcript is spliced from 3 exons. NCBI's taxonomy places the organism in Eukaryota, Metazoa, Arthropoda, Insecta, Diptera, Drosophilidae. The record is from RefSeq and is a predicted model, not a curated record.